GGAAGACUAGUGAUUUUGUUG
Molecule: microRNA, 21 nt
Filed under: Cordylochernes scorpioides
Lineage: Eukaryota; Metazoa; Arthropoda; Arachnida; Pseudoscorpiones; Chernetidae
Source: RNAcentral